This 61-nucleotide microRNA precursor is filed under the name Danio rerio (zebrafish). RNAcentral describes it as "Dre-Mir-2191_pre stem-loop". Lineage: Eukaryota; Metazoa; Chordata; Actinopteri; Cypriniformes; Danionidae. The record is from RNAcentral.
CCAUGGUAUUGAAGGUGGUAGAGAGUGUUUGUACAUUCACUCACACCUACAAUCCCUGGCA